Molecule: ribosomal RNA, 370 nt
Filed under: Lactococcus lactis
Lineage: Bacteria; Bacillati; Bacillota; Bacilli; Lactobacillales; Streptococcaceae
Description: bacterial SSU rRNA
Rfam family: Bacterial small subunit ribosomal RNA
Source: RNAcentral
AUACAGGUGGUGCAUGGUUGUCGUCAGCUCGUGUCGUGAGAUGUUGGGUUAAGUCCCGCAACGAGCGCAACCCCUAUUAGUUAGUUGCCAUCAUUCAAGUUGGGCACUCUAAUCGAGACUGCCGGUGAUAAACCGGAGGAAGGUGGGGAUGACGUCAAAUCAUCAUGCCCCUUAUGACCUGGGCUACACACGUGCUACAAUGGAUUGGUACAACGAGUCGCCAGCACCAGCUGAUGGUUGAGCUAAUCUCUUAAAAUCACAUUCUCAGUUCGGAUUGUAGGCUGCAACUCGCCUACAUGAAGUCGGAAUCGCUAGUAAUCGCGGAUCAGCACGCCGCGGUGAAUACGUCCCCGGGUCUUGUACACACCGC